Non-coding RNA from Triticum aestivum (bread wheat), 134 nucleotides. Lineage: Eukaryota; Viridiplantae; Streptophyta; Magnoliopsida; Poales; Poaceae. The record is from Rfam.
AAAAUAUUCGAUCCGUCCGAAAAUACCUAUCAUCAAAAUGAAUAAAAGAAGAUGUAUAUAGAUGUAUUUUAGUUCUAAAUACAUCCUUCUUAUCUAUUUUGAUGACAAAUAUUUUCGGACGGAGGGAGUACUUG